CAUCGGGAGCGUAUAGAAAGUGGUACGUCACUCUCGUCUCGUGUUGACGUCAUCGUCGUCUUCUUCCUCUUCUUCUCCGCAGCAACAAAAUAGCAGAUUCUUUCGUACUCCAUUGUCCGCUCCACACUCCCCAAAAAACUCCGAUUUAUCGGCCGAUUAAAUGGCCGACGAUUAUGUCCUCAUUCCAAACGGAGAAGACGACCUUGCACUCAUCACCACCACUCCCAAGCCUCCAUGUGUCGCCUCCCUCGACGUCUUCCGCUGCUGCCUCUGCGUCUUCCUGAUGAUGGUGGUGGAUUACAGCGGCUCGAUUAUUCCGGCGAUUGCUCGCCGUGGAACGGUCUCCAUUUGGCUGACUUUGUGAUGCCGUUUUUUCUCUUCAUUGCCGGAGUCUCUCUUGCUUUGGUCUAUAAGGAAGAUCACUAUCCAACAAGCGUUUGGAUUGGCUGUCCAGAUACAAAAUAGCACUAGGUGCUGCAAAGAAGAAUAUCAUAUCUUCAUCUUUGAGAAGUUACUGUUAGGCUUGAUUGGAUUUGAAAUUUUCAAUACCUGAAUAAGUUUAUCCAUAUAAGAAAGGAUUUUGUCUUUGAUGCUAUAUGAAAGUUUGAUACUUUUUUUUUUUUUUUUGAAGGAAAAGUAAAUUGAGUUUAAUACUUUACUUUCAUUGACUGUGGUAAAUGGAGCUUUGUAUCAUCAAUAAGGUUGUGUAGGUGGGAAGUAGUUGCUAUAAAUUUACCCCUUUUGAGAAGGAAGGAUAUUCUGUUAGUCUUUUUGGUUGAUUUAUUCAUAUUUCUGUGUCAUUGUACUUCAAACACUCAUAAUAUGGUUGUGGUUUUUGUUUACGAAGUCAUUGACUGGAGAUUCAUGGGACAAGCCAUUCCUAAGGAGAGCUCUGGAGCUCUGAGAGGAGUUUCAACAGUAAUAUGCCCAAAUAUAUGCAAUAUCUACACCUGGGACUCACCGACUUAAUUUUGUCCUGCUAUAUUAUCAUGUAAAGCAUGAUUUAUACAUUAUACAUAGAUCCCAAUUCGCCAGCUUUUUAUCACUCUACCUUUUAUAUUCUUAGAUU
Rosa rugosa (rugosa rose) is the source of this 1069-nucleotide long non-coding RNA. RefSeq lists it as uncharacterized. The transcript is spliced from 3 exons. Lineage: Eukaryota; Viridiplantae; Streptophyta; Magnoliopsida; Rosales; Rosaceae. The record is from RefSeq and is a predicted model, not a curated record.